GCUUCCCUGACAAGGAAGAGG
This 21-nucleotide transfer RNA is filed under the name Micrococcus luteus. Its description in RNAcentral is "tRNA-Ala". Lineage: Bacteria; Bacillati; Actinomycetota; Actinomycetes; Micrococcales; Micrococcaceae. The record is from RNAcentral.